UUAAACACGGCGCGUUUUUAAGUAGACGUUCAGAGAACCGGUGGGUGGUGUGAAUCGGUAGUCGAAACUCCGGCGCGACAAUGUGGGCAGGUAAUACUGCACGGCACGGCCGUUAUCCGUUUAAGGGUGGGAUUAAUCAUGAUCCUGAACUUGGGUGGUACCGCGAAUCGCAGUCUCUUCGUCCCAAUU
RNAcentral lists this non-coding RNA (189 nucleotides) under Lactiplantibacillus plantarum. Lineage: Bacteria; Bacillati; Bacillota; Bacilli; Lactobacillales; Lactobacillaceae. The record is from RNAcentral.